RNAcentral lists this ribosomal RNA (253 nucleotides) under uncultured bacterium. Its description in RNAcentral is "partial 16S ribosomal RNA". It matches the Rfam family "Bacterial small subunit ribosomal RNA", at positions 524 to 776 of the family's 1533-position model. The record is from RNAcentral.
UACGUAGGGUCCGAGCGUUGUCCGGAAUUAUUGGGCGUAAAGAGCUCGUAGGCGGUUUGUCGCGUCUGCUGUGAAAUCCCGAGGCUCAACCUCGGGCCUGCAGUGGGUACGGGCAGACUGGAGUGCGGUAGGGGAGAAUGGAAUUCCUGGUGUAGCGGUGGAAUGCGCAGAUAUCAGGAGGAACACCAGCGGCGAAGGCGGCGCUCUGGGCCGGAACUGACGCUGAGGAGCGAAAGCGUGGGUAGCAAACAGG